UAAUCAGUCUCUAGCGUUAGUCUCAAAAUAUUGAGACCUGGUAGUUAGCAGGUCACAAAACUAAAAAGAACUCUUGUCUGCCAUUUUGAAUAUACUGAAUAGAGAUCAUCAUAGAUAUUAAUCGAUUGUCGUUUCUUUAUAUUUUGUAAGCAACUCAAACACGAAAAGGUUAAAAAUAAAUCAAUUUUACAUAAACUUCGUAAAUAUUAUGAAACAAAGUCAAUAUAUAUUUUUAUUUUCAUUGAUAAUUAUGUUUUUUGACUAUGUUAUAGAAAAUUUAAUAUUUGUUAUCGACAUAUUUAUUUUCAUUCAAGUGUAAAAACAUCUCUGAAUAAUGAAAUGUAAUAGAUUUUGUGACUGUCACUUACAGAAUAGCAAUAUCAUCUCAAGUCUCAAAAAUUGUCUCUAACUUAAAAUCUCAAAUUUAGAGACUUGAGACUGUCUCAAGUUACAGAAUCGCACGGUUAAACAGUUCAAGGGCUCAAAACGUGCGCUACAUCAGCUACCUACCCGACGGCAUUUCGCAAAUGAUAAAAUUAAUUUUUCAAGAGCUCAAAGCAUGCUCUACAUCAGCUCGAACCUACCUACCCUUUGCCUUUGCGCAAAUUAUUAUAUUAUGAUAGCAAAUGCCCCAUACAGAUUUGGCAAUGGCAAUAGCAAUACGUUUGACAGUUAGUAUUCUAUAAAUUCUAUCCUGUCGAGAUGCCCCGUAAUGGAACUCUUUAUUGAUUACGAUUCAGUACAUCAUUUUACAAACAUACAUACAUCUAAAUAUGUAUGUACAAAAAUUUGAACUCUGCUUUCGUAUGAAAUCAUAAUAUAAAUUUGUAUGAAUAUGAGUAGAGUAUCAGUUUCUACAUAAUAGGUAAAUGUACGUAUUUGAAUGAGGACAGAUAAAGGCCUCGAGUCCAAACAAAAGUGAUACAUAUAUACGACAACUUUGCUUCCAUACCUUUUCUAAAGUUCAAAAAUUCAACAAUUUAAAGGAACUAACUAUUCUAGCAAAAUGUAGCAACAGAGUAUAAUAAGAAAUCGUUCCAUAAGUUAGGAUACGAAAGGCUGCGAUUUAGAAGAGCAUCCUCCGAUUUCGUGGUUAAAAUGGGUAUGUACGCAUAGAGGAGGUCCUCCAGAUCAAGAAAAUAUAUACAUAUACAGCGAGUCACAGUGAAAGUGAGCCCCAUAAUGCUGUUACCGGAAGCUUUAAAAAUAUCACUAAAAUACAACUAUUAUUAAAAAACCUUGUAUAUUAUUUUGUCUGGAUAUUAAUCUACAGUAAUUCAA
Bactrocera neohumeralis is the source of this 1281-nucleotide long non-coding RNA. RefSeq lists it as uncharacterized. NCBI's taxonomy places the organism in Eukaryota, Metazoa, Arthropoda, Insecta, Diptera, Tephritidae. The record is from RefSeq and is a predicted model, not a curated record. The transcript is spliced from 2 exons.